AACGAACGCUGGCGGCAUGCCCAACACAUGCCAGUCGAACGAGACCUUCGGGUCUAGUGGCGCACGGGUGCGUAACGCGUGGGAACCUGCCCUUAGGUUCGGAAUAACUCCCCGAAAGGGGUGCUAAUACCGGAUAAUGUCUUCGGACCAAAGAUUUAUCGCCUUUGGAUGGGCCCGCGUUGGAUUAGCUAGUUGGUAGGGUAAAAGCCUACCAAGGCGACGAUCCAUAGCUGGUCUGAGAGGAUGAUCAGCCACACUGGGACUGAGACACGGCCCAGACUCCUACGGGAGGCAGCAGUGGGGAAUAUUGGACAAUGGGCGAAAGCCUGAUCCAGCAAUGCCGCGUGAGUGAUGAAGGCCUUAGGGUUGUAAAGCUCUUUUACCCGGGAUGAUAAUGACAGUACCGGGAGAAUAAGCUCCGGCUAACUCCGU
This 432-nucleotide ribosomal RNA is filed under the name uncultured bacterium. RNAcentral's name for it is "partial 16S ribosomal RNA". It matches the Rfam family "Bacterial small subunit ribosomal RNA", at positions 29 to 506 of the family's 1533-position model. The record is from RNAcentral.